Molecule: ribosomal RNA, 253 nt
Filed under: uncultured bacterium
Lineage: Bacteria
Description: partial 16S ribosomal RNA
Rfam family: Bacterial small subunit ribosomal RNA
Source: RNAcentral
UACAGAGGUCUCAAGCGUUGUUCGGAUUCAUUGGGCGUAAAGGGUGCGUAGGCGGCGCGGUAAGUCGGGUGUGAAAUCUCGGGGCUUAACUCCGAAACUGCAUUCGAUACUGCCGUGCUUGAGGCGAGUAUGGGUCACUGGAACUGACGGUGGAGCGGUGAAAUGCGUAGAUAUCGUCAGGAACGCCAAUGGUGAAGACAGGUGACUGGGCUCGAUCUGACACUGAGGCACGAAAGCGUGGGGAGCGAACGGG